RNAcentral lists this small nuclear RNA (103 nucleotides) under Piliocolobus tephrosceles (Ugandan red Colobus). Lineage: Eukaryota; Metazoa; Chordata; Mammalia; Primates; Cercopithecidae. The record is from RNAcentral.
GUGGUCGCUUUGGCGGCACAAACACUAAAAUUGGAACAGCACAGAGAUUAGCAUGGCCCCUGCACAAGGAUGACGUGCAAAUUGUGAAGCGUUCCAUAUUAAA